This 464-nucleotide ribosomal RNA is filed under the name uncultured bacterium. Its description in RNAcentral is "partial 16S ribosomal RNA". It matches the Rfam family "Bacterial small subunit ribosomal RNA", at positions 29 to 507 of the family's 1533-position model. The record is from RNAcentral.
ACGAACGCUGGCGGCGUGCUUCACCCAUGCCAGUCUCACGGAAAGGCCCUGCUUGCAGGGUACUCGAGUGGCGAACGGGUGAGUAACACGUGGGUGAUCUGCCCUGCACUUCGGGAUAAGCCUGGGAAACUGGGUCUAAUACCGGAUAGGAGCCAUUUUUAGUGUGAUGGUUGGAAAGUUUUUUCGGUGUAGGAUGAGCUCGCGGCCUAUCAGCUUGUUGGUGGGGUAAUGGCCUACCAAGGCGGCGACGGGUAGCCGGCCUGAGAGGGUGGACGGCCACAGUGGGACUGAGAUACGGCCCAGACUCCUACGGGAGGCAGCAGUGGGGAAUAUUGCACAAUGGGCGCAAGCCUGAUGCAGCGACGCCGCGUGGGGGAUGACGGCCUUCGGGUUGUAAACGCCUUUCGCUAGGGACGAAGCUUUUUGUGACGGUACCUAGAGAAGAAGCACCGGCUAACUACGUG